Molecule: long non-coding RNA, 580 nt
Filed under: Pan troglodytes (chimpanzee)
Lineage: Eukaryota; Metazoa; Chordata; Mammalia; Primates; Hominidae
Description: lincRNA
Source: RNAcentral
CUUUUUAGCAGGGGCCUUACGGGUGCGCGCUUCGGUCCUGGAGACCUUAUCCUAGCCUCCUCUCCAUCAGCGCCACCCGUCUGCGGCCCGAAAGGAGGGAGCUUUCCCUCUGUCCCCCAGCCUUUGGACUGUCACCAAACAAGCCAUUCGUUCACCAAAUAGUUAUUAAGCGCCUACCAUGUGCCUGACAACGGAGAUGUAACGAAAUUGCCUGUCUGUUCCACUCUGGUUGAAGAAACCAGUCCGACUGUCUCUGAGGCUAUGGAGCUGUCCAUCAAGAAUGAAAGCCCUCUGCCAGGCACGUUGGCUCACACCUGUAAUACCAGCACUUUGGGAGGCCGAGGCAGGUGGAUCACUUCAAGUCAGGAGUUCAACACCAGCAUGGCCAACAUGGUGAAACCCUGUCUCUACAAAAAAUUGAAAAAUUAGCUGGGCCUCAGAAGCUCUGCUAUCCACAAGCAGGUAGAAGUUGCUGGUCCCAUCUUGCCCACAAUCCUCCAAAAUUUGGAAGUUACUUUCCAGGAGACUUAGCUUGCACUGAGAGCUGCCCUCCCAACCCCUCUCCAAAUUUCCUCUUGGG